Molecule: long non-coding RNA, 290 nt
Filed under: Aquilegia coerulea
Lineage: Eukaryota; Viridiplantae; Streptophyta; Magnoliopsida; Ranunculales; Ranunculaceae
Description: long non-coding RNA (ACOE_LNC002346)
Source: RNAcentral
GUAGAGUCUUCUACAACCCUUUUCAUCUUCCUGUCACCCUACAUUGAAGAAUAUAUCAGUAAUUUGGUUAAGAUCAAAUAACAAAAAGCCACUAACAUAAAUGUACCUCAAUGGAUUCGGUAAAAUGCCUAGCCUCGAUUUCUUCAUUUACAACCCAAACUUUGGAUGCUGUAAAUGAGACAUCUCCAUCUUCAUUGCGUAUAUUGAAUUCGCUAAUUUUUAUUUCAAAAACAAAUUCUAAUCCAAUCAGUUUAUUCAAUAUAUCCUUAACAGAUUCUGAGCCAUUAUCC